GUGAGGAAUUUUGCGCAAUGGGGGAAACCCUGACGCAGCGACGCCGCGUGGAGGAUGAAGGCCUUCGGGUCGUAAACUCCUGUCAGAGGUGAAGAAUGCCCGCAAGGGUUUGACGGUAACCUCAGAGGAAGCCCCGGCUAACUACGUGCCAGCAGCCGCGGUAAUACGUAGGGGGCAAGCGUUGCUCGGAAUUAUUGGGCGUAAAGGGUGUGUAGGUGGCUGAUCAAGUCAAAGAUGAAAUCCCGAAGCUCAACUUCGGAAUUGUCUUUGAAACUGGUCGGCUUGAGGCUGGUUGAGGAGAGCGGAAUUCCCGGUGGAGCGGUGAAAUGCGUAGAUAUCGGGAGGAACACCUGAGGCGAAGGCGGUUCUCUAAACUUGUCCUGACACUGAAACACGAAAGCUAGGGGAGCAAACGGGAUUAGAAACCCCAGUAGUCC
This 437-nucleotide ribosomal RNA is filed under the name uncultured bacterium. Its description in RNAcentral is "bacterial SSU rRNA". It matches the Rfam family "Bacterial small subunit ribosomal RNA", at positions 354 to 796 of the family's 1533-position model. The record is from RNAcentral.